This 21-nucleotide microRNA is filed under the name Oreochromis niloticus (Nile tilapia). RNAcentral describes it as "oni-miR-10634". Lineage: Eukaryota; Metazoa; Chordata; Actinopteri; Cichliformes; Cichlidae. The record is from miRBase by way of RNAcentral.
UGCAUACUUUGAGACUGCAGA